Sus scrofa (pig) is the source of this 5956-nucleotide non-coding RNA. The record is from RefSeq and is a predicted model, not a curated record. Lineage: Eukaryota; Metazoa; Chordata; Mammalia; Artiodactyla; Suidae.
CCUAGUCGAAUUCGUUUCCGCUGGGCCACGACGAGAAUUUCUGAACCUCUUCUAUUGUCAGCUCACCUUUUCUGGCUACUUAGUGCUCCUUCAAACUUCCUCUACUCAAACUUUAAAGCAGUUCUUCCCUCUUGGAAGAUUAUUUUUGCUCCCGCUUCACGAAGAGAAUGGAAGCCAUACUUUCAUGUUUUGGCCACCAAAUGGAACAAACUAAACUGGAUUUAUACUAGUGCUCGGCUCUGUCUUCUCAAUAGUGAAGAAGCUGUUCCCCUCGCCAGCCUCAAGAACCUCAUGCUACCAAUUAUCUCCUUUCCACAGUAUCCUUAGCCUUUUCUGAACCAAAUUCUUUCCAUGAGCAUGCUCUAAGCCCUCACUUAAAAGGAAAAAAACAAAACUUCUCCUAUUUAGCCACCCAUUUUCUCUCCCUCAGCUCCCUCCCUUUAGCUAAACUUGUCACAAGUGUUGCCUACACUUUAACAGACCUAAAUUCUAGUUCCAAAUAUUCAUGGUGCAAGAAAGUCCUCUCUGUGCAACUCAAUUUUUUCCCAAUCCCCCAUUCUGCCACAUGGCAGAGACUUGAGAUGGCAGGAUCCAGGCUCUCCGGGCUUUUUUGGCACCAAAGCCCAGGUGAGCACCAGUAUUCAUUGAUCAGCCAUCUGUGCUGGCAUCCCCUAAGGCCCCAUCAAACUGUCGGGUCACAUCCACAGCAGGCUGCGUGAAUGAGCCCCACUUAGUCUGAGAGGACCCAGCUCUAGCUUUAGACAACUUUAGGGCACCUCUUUGGAUGCAGGAAGAUUUGCUCCAUUCUGCACCAACGGAGGGCUGCAGCAACCCUUAUAAUGCUGUCUAAAGAUUUUUUUAAAUUAUUUUUUAAUAAUAUUGAUUAUUUGAAACUUUUUUUUUAGUAUUGUUGGGUCAAUUAAAAUGAUCCAUAAAGUAGGCUUGGAGGGCCUAUGUAUAGAAGUGAGAAUCUCUGUGACCUGCUCCCCAGUGAAACAAGUGGAGCUGAUGAAAAUUACUUAAAAAGCAAGCAUUUGAAGUCUCUAGAGAUUGUCUUAAAAGUGAAAGCAUGGGUGAUGGUCAGUCAUAUCCAUUUCAUCUGCUUUCACUAAUCAAGGGAGCUUUAAGACUUGCAGGUUCCCUGCAGCAUGAGGCCUACAGAGCAAGGUGUUUGCCUGAGUUAUUGUUCAGGAACUUGGAGUCAGCUGCCUCUCGUUUGCACUGAGCCACUUAAGAGUGGGUGGGACCACCCGCUCUCCAGUGAGGCCUAUGGGAGUGUGUGCUCCCUGACCUUUUGAUGUCAGAGGCUGGAAAACCACCCUGAGGUGGUACAGAGGCCUGUAGGCCAGUUACGCCUGCGCAGAGCGAUGACAACAUACCUUUUCCCAAUCACCCGCCCCGCUUCCCACGCCCCCACGCCCCCCACGCCUCAGACCGCCCUCCAUCUUUAUUCGUUAUCCCAACAAUACCCAGGCGCUGAACUUUGGGAGGCGGUUUUGAGGUUUGCAAUUGUCUUCUCGCUUGGCUGCUUUGCGAGAGCAUUCUCUUUUGCAUCACAUCUCAGUGCCUCGGCCUUUGGCAUGCUGUGAGUUGGGCAAGACCAACCUGGUUCAGUAAUGAGAGCGUGUAGCAAAUGACGAAACAGUAAUGUAAGAAAGUCUCCUAUCACUCCGUAAGAAGAGCGAGAGCGUGUGGAAUUUGAAUUAUAACCCACUUCAGGUUAUGUGAUGGAAACUCCACUUCAGCAAUGAAUGAGAGUUCCUGUUGCUGCACAUCCUUUUCAGCAUUUGGUGUUGUCAGUGUUUUCGGCUUCAGCCAUUCUUAUAGGGUGAGAGUAACAGAGCGGGAUCUAAGUUUUUGAUGCUGUAUUUUCUUUUGGAGGAAGAAAUGAGCAUGAAAUGUGGAAGAGAUAGCAAUAAUACUUAGAGCUUAAAAAGUACUUCUGGAUGUGUCUGAUUUCCUUUGAAGGCACAAACGUGUAUCUGCAUGGAAAAGCUCAGGCUUGUGUGCUAUUUUCUUGAGCAAAUAUCCCUGGACUUUUUUGUUUUAAUGACACUGAGCCUCUGGAUUCUGAGGUCCUCUCCAAAACUAAUGCUGGCAUUGGAUGGUUCAUUUUGCAGUUUUUCAAAAUUUUGUUUAACUAGGGGACCUUAGAAAAGGCAGUCAGGGUGCCACCAGCAAGGAAAGAGAACUGGAACUACAGGGAAGAAGGCAAUGGUGUGAGGUUGGAAAUAUAUUCCAGGUAGAGUGCAUAUCAUGCUGGGGUCCAGAACAGGCAGCAAAGCAUUUAGGCAGGAGGAAGAGAGGCUCUAAUGGCAAUGGGGGAGGGUGGCAGUGGGCCAGGUCAGGGAGUAGCAAGGGCCUUCUAAGAAGUUCAGUCUUUACUUUGAGGGCACCGGUGUGUAACUUAAGUAAGGGGAUGAAUUUGCACUUUAAAAAAAUCACUCUGCCUGCAGAACAGAGAAAGAAUUGGGAAGGAUCAAAAGUAUUGGGUUGCAAAUUAGCUUGCUGAUAUAGUAAUCCAGGUGAGAGCUGAUGGUGGCCUGAAAUGGGUAGUGGGCAGAUUCUAGAGCUAUUUACGGGGUUUGAAUAGAACUGGCCUGACUUGUUGAUGGGUGAAUUGUGGUGGACAAGGGUCAAAAAGAUGAGGUCCAGACUUCUGGCUUAGGCAACGAUGUGGAGAGUGUAACAGCAAACCUAGGAAGAGCAGGCUGGAGUAGGGUAGGUGGGGAGACAGUGAAUUUAGUGUUUGAAAUAUUGGCAAGAGAACCAAGUAGUAAUUUCUAGUAGGCAUGUGGACAAAUGGGUCUGAAAUCCUACAGAAAUCUGGAAGACAAAGCAUUGGUGUGGGUUAUAACAUGCAUGAAUAUAAGGCAGCCAGGGGAAUAUCAAGAUAAAAAAGGCAGGGCUGGAGAUAAGCCAGCACUGACGGGCCAAGGACAAGCAAGAGGGGGACCCUUCACAGGAGGCAAUGGAGGGGCCUACAUGGAGUUACAGCACCAAGAGAAGAAGGUGGUUCAUCACGGGGCCAGUGAGCAUUGAUGUCAUGCACCACCAAGAAGUCGAGGAAGAUAAGGGACUGCAGAGUGUCCCCUGGCUCUGUCAACAGGAAAGUGAGUGUCCUUAGUGAGAAGAGCUUUGAAGAAGAAGGACUAGAGCAAGGUGAGGAAAAGCAAAUGGGUGAGUGCAGACAAGCUUUUCAAGAACUUGCUGUGUCAAAAAGGAGAAAAUGGGAGUUCCUGUUGUGGCUCAGUGGAAACGAACCCGACUAGUAUCCAUGAGGACUCAGAUUCGAUCCCUGGCCUCGCUCGGUGGGGUUAAAAUCCAGUGUUGCCAUGAGCUAUGGAGAAGGUCACAGACAAGGCUCAGAUCGGUGUUGCUGUGGCUGAGGCAUAGGCCAGCGGCUACAGCUCCAUUAGACCCCUAUCCUGGGAACCUCCAUAUGCUGCAUGUACUGCCCUAAAAAGACCAAAAAAAAAAAAAAAAAAAAAAGUGGCAGAGAGGGAUGUGUAGCCUUAAGAAGUGUGUAUGUAUGAAGGGCUGGGACUUGAACAUGUGACAUACAGAGAGGGCGAGGUGGGAGACUGAGGGGAGAGGGGUAGGAUCCUCUGACUGGGUGGGGUCCCCAAGGAGAAAGAAAGGAAGGGUCGGAGCCGAAGCCCCGUCAGAUGGAAACACUGGACGGGACAGGCAGCAUCGUACUCUUCCUCAGAGCAGGAGGCGAGACAAGGGAGGAGGAAGAGAGGACAAAGCUUGUUUUCCCAUUUGGAUUGUUUCCUUCUUGGGAACAAUCCUUUCUUUCCUGGACAAGGAAAUUCAGUUCUAGUUUCAUGGGACCCCCCAGAGCUGCCCCCCGGAGCCCACAGGCCCCUGUUCGGGAUAACAAGUCACCAACUCUUUCUCGUUACAAGAGUACGGGGGCAAGGCCCAGGCCUCCUCAAGGCAGAGUCGAGAACAAGUAGUACAGACGGUGUAUAGGCAGCUUUGAGAGGAAUGAAGAGUCAGGGGAACACUGGGGAUGAGGAGAAAGGUAUGCUUUCCAAGAAGAGUGUGUGGGAGUUCCCGCUGUAGUGCAGUGGGUUAAGAAUCCAACUGCAGUGGUUCAGGUUUGAUCUCCGGCCCAGGAACUUCCAUAUGCCAUGGGUGAGGCCAUUUAAAAAAAAAAAAAGAGGAGUGUAUGGAUCCCAUCUGAGAUCUGAACUCAGCAGCUAAAAGCAGCUGGAGAGGAAGGGAUGAAAGUGGCUCAAAUGCAGAUCAUAAUGCGGAGUAAAGAAAGGGGAAGGAGGGUAGAAAAAGGAAGAAAAAAAAAAAGAGCUUGGGAGACAGCAGACUGAGACACGCAGAACUAUCCAGAGAGCCCAGGUCAAAAGUAUCCCACUUGGCCAGAUACUACUUCAGUAGACUGAUCUUCUUACUUGUAUUUAUUUGAAGUAUGUUCUAUUUGUACUACAAGCCCUUUUGGCAAGAUUUUGAAAUCCUUCCCCUCAAGGAGAAACUUUGCUGGAUGCAAUCUCACAGUAAACAGAUCAUGUGGAAUUUUAAACGUACGACCUUGUCGAUAGAGGCUGAAAAGCUAGGGACUAAAGCAGCUUUCUGCCCGGUUCCUCACUCUGGAGGAAGCAGCUCCUGUGAAGGCUUGUGGAGCGCAGGGUUGCCUGGGAGCUGGGGAGGGGCAGAGGGCCUGCACUCUCUGGGGGCGGAGACAAUGUUUUGACUGGUAUUCUGGAGUGGGGAGUGCCAGAGGAGCUGCAAAAUGCUCAAAAAAAGGAAUUUUAGGUUUAGCAAUACUUUUAAGCUAUUUAUACACAGAGCAUCCUAACAGACUUGGAGACAUAGUCAUUACCUAUUUUGGGAACUAAAUCAAACCAUAUACAAGGACACAGGAAGAGUUUUUCCUGGGCUGAGUGUGAGGGUUCUUACCCAGGAUGACUGUGGAGGCAGAGGUGUCAGGGAGGGGCGGGUCCAUUGAGUUAUGGUGACACUGCACAAGUCAUCCCCUCCCGCCCCAUUGCCUUGCAACUGAGGCCUUCUGAGCAGACAGAAUUGACUUAGGAGACUGUCCCCACAAAGCACAGAAAAGCUGACUUAGGAGACUGUCCCCACAAAGCACAGAAAAGCUUAGGCCCAGAGUGAGAGAUCACUAACACUCCUGGGCUACCUGCUGGUGCAACACCAACAGUAUCAUUCGGGAGAGAACUCAGCCAAGCUGCUGAACAACACGGGACACAGUGGGAGGGGCUGCAUGGGGUGUAUCAUGGAAAUGACAAGAGGCUGGGUCACUACAUCUGACUGGUUGGUGCCUGGCCAUGAAAAAUACAAAUUAUCUUCAAAUACCAAGCACAAGGAUGUAUACCAAUUGCAUAUAAAUCUAUCCCAUACUUGCUAGGCAAGGCAUUUGAAUUGACUGCCACUUCUCAUACAACUCACAGAGAUAAGACCAGCCCCAAGCAGUUUACCCCCCACCUUAUGACACCUGAGAGUGUUUUGAUGAAGAUGACAGUGCUAAGGGUUUCACAGUGGCUUUUGUGGUUGUGAGAAUGGUGAGCCAAGACCAAGACAUACUUGUGUCAUGGCUUAAGCACUGAAUCAGUAUAUGCAAUGCACUCUGUGAUCUCACAGGGCUGAGAGUCUCGAUAUCCUGUGAAAUAGAUGCUUUCCUUCAAAGCUAGUAGAUUAUAAGACCUGCUAAGGAAUAACAAGUGUGACAGCAGCAGGAGAGACAGAUUCUGGCGCCGAGGGUCCUAGGCAUUUGAUAAACUCGGGACCAUCCUUCUCACCCAUCAUUUUGAGAAACAGGAGACUCAAGUCAUAAUGUCUUCUAACAGAGCCACAUGGAACCUUGGUUCAACCUCCUUGAUUCUGAGGCAAGGAUAUGGUCUACUGGCAACAACCAAGUCUCCCCAGGAUACCCCUCCAGAGAGUCUGGGGUCACCUGUGCUCUGAGAGUUGCCUGGCA